Hydra vulgaris (swiftwater hydra) is the source of this 332-nucleotide long non-coding RNA. RefSeq lists it as uncharacterized. NCBI's taxonomy places the organism in Eukaryota, Metazoa, Cnidaria, Hydrozoa, Anthoathecata, Hydridae. The record is from RefSeq and is a predicted model, not a curated record.
AAAGGCCUUUGAAGUUAAACUAAAUCUAUAUUUUAGUUUGUUUAAAGUAAAUAUCACAAAAUUCAUAAAAGAAAGACCAUCGACUUUCUUUUUGAUUUUUAUAGUUUCUAGAGUUUCUUUUAGAGCUUAAAUAGGUUGACACAGCCGAAAAAUCAAUCCUGUCAUUAUCAGUAAACAGGGUUUAAGGGUGUGUAACCAAAGUAGGGAUGAAGAUAACCCUUUCUUAUUUUGGAAAAGUGGCUCCUCUAGAUGGCAAAAAAAGAGUGGUGGCAAAAUAUUUAAUUGCAUUAACAAUUAGAAAUUUUGUAGUUUGUUAAUCUACAUAUUGUAGA